CCGUAGCUGGCUUUCUUUUUUAAAAAUGAAUAUGUUCUUAUUGAAAGAAAAAGAUUGAUCAGUCUAGGUCAGUACAUUGACGUCUUUAGCAUCUGAUUCUAAUUAAAAGCGUCUUUCGACCAAGCAAAUAACUUCAUCACGUCUAUCACAUCUGAAGCUUAUCAAACAUUUUGUCCACAAGAUCUGGUGCAAUCAAUGACGGCAUGACACGCAUCUAGCAGGUGGCGAACGGAUAAUGGCUUAUCAAUUCUUGUCCUGCUCUGCAAUAAAGUCGCAUUUCAAUCAAAUUACAAACUAGCUUUUAUGUGUCAAAGGUAGCUAAAACCCCAAUGCCGAGAGGCACUGAGAAGCAUGUCAGGGUGCUAAUAUAAUUCACUUUAGUAGAAAAAGAAGUGACCAUAAAUAAAAGAAAAAGAAUAUUAUAAGAGAGAAAGCAAAAAUUCCAAAUACGGUCAUUUUGGUUUUUGGCUUCCGUUUAGUAAUUCACCUGUUAAUUAUAUUUAUCAAUUUAAUUUUGUUUAAGUGGUUCACAUGAACAUAUUUGAUCUAACGGUUACGAAUUGUGUAUGAUUAUAAGAUGAUUAUACUAAAUCACUUAUCAUAGAAUAUUUCUACUAACCACUCAUCUUAUUUAUCUGGAAAUGACUUAUACCCCAUGGUUUCAGCCUCAAACUUCUAGGAAUUAGUUUUGAGUCAUGGCUUCCAAAUGCAUCGUCUCUCAUCUCCAUUUGUAUCCCCACCUUU
Molecule: long non-coding RNA, 744 nt
Filed under: Gossypium raimondii (Peruvian cotton)
Lineage: Eukaryota; Viridiplantae; Streptophyta; Magnoliopsida; Malvales; Malvaceae
Description: long non-coding RNA (GRAI_LNC004916)
Source: RNAcentral